GGCUAGCAUUGUUUUUGUCCACACCCUUCUUUGUUUGAACAGCUAUUAUGUAUAUAUUCACCACUCGUUCUUGACACAAACUCAACCCUUUGUUCAAAGUCCAUUUUGUCCUCUUCUCUCCACUUGAAUUACUUGUUUGGUCGUGUAUAUGACAUUUGCCAAACAUCAUCAUUUAUUUUCUCUCUCAAACCUCUCAUUUAAUUUUGGAUUAAUUUUGAGUCAAAAAUCACUAGAAGAUUGAAAUAUAGUACGUGAUUCGAUUCGGAUUGGACUUUCAUCUUUAAAAAUAUCAAUCCAAU
Molecule: long non-coding RNA, 299 nt
Filed under: Cicer arietinum (chickpea)
Lineage: Eukaryota; Viridiplantae; Streptophyta; Magnoliopsida; Fabales; Fabaceae
Description: long non-coding RNA (CARI_LNC001144)
Source: RNAcentral